Molecule: RNA transcript, 3287 nt
Organism: Schistocerca serialis cubense
Lineage: Eukaryota; Metazoa; Arthropoda; Insecta; Orthoptera; Acrididae
Gene name: organic solute transporter alpha-like protein
Exons: 8
Source: RefSeq, a predicted model, not a curated record
CGGUAACUAGCGUGCAGUAAAACCGCCACCUUUGUACACACGGCCGCUGCCCGCGCGGCUCCCGCCUUCCACCACAGUUUCAUCACUGUGGCUCAAGAGUGACUUCUUUUGCCUUGCUGGAAUUAGAACUCCGGACUUCAUUAUUUCCACGGUUCUCGGCCGGAGUGUGGAGGAGAUGCAGCGCAGUCGGCCACCCCUCGGCGUGUGAACGGACUCCGUCAUGGCUUCAGACAUGGCGGCAGACUCGUGGAGUGUGGGGAAUACUACAUACUGCAACCCCGACACUCUGCCUUCACUGCGUGAAUACUAUGGAGCUGUGGACCCGCUCAUCAUCGUGCUGGUGUGCACCGCCCUGGCUGUGGUGGCCGUCACUAUAGCCCUGUACUCCACCACCAUGAGGGACAUCGUCCAGCGGGCGCCUCGCGAGGUCAAGGGCGACACUGCCGCCGUGCUCGCCAUACACCCGGUGGGUGCAGUGAUCGUGUUCCUGUCGCUGCUGGUGCCACGUGCCGACUUCCUGGUGGAGGUGGUGCUGCAGGGCACCUUCGUGGUGUGCCUGUACAAAUUCUUCUGCUUACUGGUGGCGUACGGCGGCGGUGAGGAGGAGCUGACCCUCAAGCUGCGUCCAGCCGCCUUCCAGCCAAUCACGGGGCCCUGCUGCUGCUGUCCGUGCUGCCGUCUCUGCUGCUCGCCGCUAGAGGUCUCCAAGAGCAGCCUGACGAGGAUCCGGGUGCUCAUCCUGCAGCUGCCAGUGGUGCAGUGGCUCAUCGACCUGGUGCUCUUCGUCCUCCUGGCUGAGGACCAGGCGGUGUACCAGGCAGUUUACCAGUGGGUGCAGGUGGUGCCCAUGGUUUCGCUGAUGGUGGCGCUGUGGGGUGCCAACAUGUUUCUGUCGUUGCUCGGGGAUGCCCUCGCCGAGCACCGCGUGAGGUCCAAAUUCGUCGCCAUGCAGGUGGUGGUAGCCCUGAAUGCGAUGCUCAAGGCCGUCUCCCGGCCAAUAGCAGCGGCGCUGGCCUGCUACCCACCCCUCACCCCGGCACUCUACUGCCACAUGGUGGUGGACAUGGCUCUGCUGGUGAUCAACCUGGCGAUGGCUGCGUGGGGGCGAGAUCUGUACCGUCGCGAUCUGCCCAAGAUCGUCCUCACGAGCAUCCGGCGACUGAGUGGGGACGCCACCACUUCGCCGCAGACUUCACCACGCCACACCCGACAUGCGCCCGCCAUAGUAGCCGCCUAGCUCUGCUCCUCGCAAGACACCACACCAGGUCCAGCAAGCCUCUGUCGUGACAGAUAUAAACUGGCAAUGGUGCCUCUACACGCAAGAUUGUUCCAUAUUGGGCUUAAAUGACUACCUGCCACCAUAGCUGUCUGCAGGACCUCUACUUGACAGAAAAGAUCACGAUAACCACCUGACCUCACUAUAGGGGAGAUGACAACAAUGUUCACUGAAUCUAGCCCAGGCAUUAUAAUUAGCCAGUAGAAAAGGUGUCCAACCACUUCAUAUCUUUUUCAGUCGUCGACAAAACUCACUUAGCCCACCCAGACAUUGCAACUGGUCAGUAGAGUUUGUGGUAAACUAGUCUACAUGAGUUUUGGUAGUGGGCAAAGCUGCAUACUUCCAUAUCAGCAUCCAACUGGUUUUCUGUAAGUUACUCUCACUCAAAACCAGCAACCACAAUCGCGUAGAGGGAAUGAAGAACCACCACAAAGGCAUCGUGACACCAGUCUUCGCUAUUGUCUCUCAUAGUAGCUUCAUAGUAGGAAUGAUCCUCUACUUCGCUAAUACCAAUGCGCUAUUAUUAGGCAACUGCCUACGUGGAUGACAGGUCUUGUCCACAUAUCACCAGGUAUUCUCUACUGCCCAAUACCACCACCCCUGCCAAGCAACAUGGACAUACAUGGGACUGUCAACUUCUCCGUUAUUGUAUUUUCUAGAGAGGGAGGAUCGCUCUACUGCACAGACAUUACACCCUCAAUCAACAUCAGUCAUGGUAGCCACGUAGUGGUGGUUAUUAGUUGACUCUAUGAAUACUAUGAACAGGCUGAGCUGUGUUCUAGCAUGUUCAUGACUGUUCUGAAGGCAUUGCAAAGUCAGACUAACAUGGCCACCAUCAUAGUGGCUGCCCAUAAUUGUGGCUCUAUAUUAAAGAUAUCACAACACUUUAUGUAGCUUUUCCCAGUAAUAGCAGACACAUAGUAAGGGCGAAAGCUCCACUCUAAUCAUGUUGCAGUUAACUGACAUCCAUCUGUGCAGGUGCCUAAGGUCGGUGAUUAACUUGACAGUUCAGAUGCAGGUGGUCCCCAUGACAGAAGCUGUGUAGUGUGGACAGUCCAGGAAGGACUUAGCAGGUGCCAGUUACACUACCCACCUAUUGGACACGUUGACUCUGUUGAGUAAGCAUCCCCACACUUGGCACAGAUAGUCCCCAGGUUCAGACACCCCUGCAGAGGACAGUGGUUCUACUAUGCAGGCAUCAGCGCACUCAACUUACCUUGCUGUGUCAUAGUUGGCACCUAGAAAGGCCUAUAGCUCCAUACCAAAGUUAUCACCAUGCUAGACUUGCCUCAUUAAACAUAGGUAGUGCUUGUGGCUGCUCUCCUCCAAAGACAUGGAAAUGCCAGCUGCUUUUGGUCCCCACAAUAAAAACCGCUCAGUAGAGAUACUGAUUCUACUGCAAAGCUAUCACUGUAAUGGACACAGCUGGCUACUACCGUGACAAGCACCCACUUGGCAAUUUUGGUUAACUUUUCAAAAGUUUCACCAGUCCGGACUCAGCUGUACUCCAUCAGUGCAAGUGCCCAGGCGGAAUGGUGGCUCUCCUCCAAAGACAUCGUCACACUUGGCGAUCAUUGGGGAUGACAAGGGGAAGUGGUGGCGCCGCAUUGACAUGAUCCCCCGUCCUUUGUCGCCCACUCCCCCCCCCCCCCCCCAUUCCUCUCAAGGAAGUAGCUAGUACCUUGCCAGGAUGCUGGUAAUACCAUAACACAAUCUGUCCUGAUGCAGGACACAGAUGGUUGCUGUGACAGCAGUUACUACACAGUGGCUACCUAAUUGUGAUGAUACAUCCACUCCAGGGACAUCGUGACACCAAACAAAUGUCUGCGUUGAUAAGGAAGUUACUGAAAUCAUAUCUUGAGAGCCACUUCAACACACAUUUUCCGGACGAAGAAGUGCCAAACUGUGUGUUUGUGCUGGACUUAGGAUAUGGAGAUACUGGGACUAUCAUCGUGAAAAAUGUGCAUGUGACUAUGUUUCCUGUAUACAUACAUACUUGUAAGCUACAAUA